UACGUAGGGUGCAAGCGUUGUCCGGAAUUAUUGGGCGUAAAGAGCUCGUAGGCGGUUUGUCGCGUCUGCUGUGAAAACUCGGGGCUUAACCCCGGGCCUGCAGUGGAUACUGGCGAGCUAGAGUGCGGUAGAGGAUGGUGGAAUUCCCGGUGUAGCGGUGAAAUGCGUAGAGAUCGGGAGGAACACCCGUGGCGAAGGCGGCCAUCUGGACCAGCACUGACGCUGAGGCACGAAAGCGUGGGGAGCAAACAGG
RNAcentral lists this ribosomal RNA (253 nucleotides) under uncultured bacterium. RNAcentral's name for it is "partial 16S ribosomal RNA". It matches the Rfam family "Bacterial small subunit ribosomal RNA", at positions 524 to 776 of the family's 1533-position model. The record is from RNAcentral.